Molecule: microRNA precursor, 79 nt
Organism: Rhinopithecus bieti (black snub-nosed monkey)
Lineage: Eukaryota; Metazoa; Chordata; Mammalia; Primates; Cercopithecidae
Source: Ensembl
CCUGUGUGGUGAUGGAGCUGGGAAUACUCUGGGGAGAGAGUCCUCUUUCAGCUGUAUUUUGCUUCCUUCCCACACAGAC